CGUGCUUAAUACAUGCAAGUCAACUUGACUUUAGAUAGCAAUAUCGAAAAGUAGGUGGCGCACGGGUGCGUAACGCGUAGGUAAUCCUGCCCUGAGGUCUGACAUAACCCGUCGAAAGGCGGGCUAACAUCAGAUGAUAUAUAAUCACGACAUCGUGGAAAUAUCAAAUCUUCGGAGCCUUGGGAUGAGCCUGCGUCUGAUUAGGUAGUUGCGGGGUAAUAGCCCACCAAGCCUACGAUCAGUAGCUGGUCUGAGAGGAUGAUCAGCCACACUGGAACUGAGACACGGUCCAGACUCCUACGGGAGGCAGCAGUAAGGAAUAUUGCUCAAUGGGGGAAACCCUGAAGCAGCAACGCCGCGUGAAGGAUGAAAUACUUUUGUAUGUAAACUUCUGUAAGAUGGGAAAAAUAUUCUCCUCGGGAGAAUUGAUUGUACCAUCAGAGUAAGCCCCGGCUAACUACGUG
RNAcentral lists this ribosomal RNA (464 nucleotides) under uncultured bacterium. RNAcentral describes it as "bacterial SSU rRNA". It matches the Rfam family "Bacterial small subunit ribosomal RNA", at positions 43 to 507 of the family's 1533-position model. The record is from RNAcentral.